Long non-coding RNA from Equus asinus (donkey), 5052 nucleotides. NCBI's taxonomy places the organism in Eukaryota, Metazoa, Chordata, Mammalia, Perissodactyla, Equidae. The record is from Ensembl.
GGCGGUCACUGUUGGGGUCACUCUUUCAGCGCCUCCGCUUUUCGAGAGACUGGGGAAUGAUCUCUCCGAGCCCGAAGAGGUUGAGGAUCAAACGUGACUUCCGCCGCCAAAUGCAAAAGGUGGUCCUCUAUUGGCUCCUGAUUGAAAUAGCGUUUUUUCCAAAGCAGUGCUCAGACAAGUUGAAUGAUUCAAUGAAAAUUUAAUCUGAUCUCAUCUUAGCUGUAAGCGGCAGCCUGCUAUCAACUAGAAUUGUAAUGCUGGGAACGAUCUGCUUCCUGCAGGCCUCUCUCCCUUCUCUGCCUUGGAGCCCUGGUCUGCCUUAUAAGAAUUUUGUUAUUAUGCUAGAGCUAUGUGGAGAGGCCGUAGGAGAAGCCACAUAAGAGGGAGAGGCCCUGAGAGAAAAGCCCAGCCAUCCCAGUGUCCCAGCCAAGCCCAGGCCCCUGCUGACCUACCAGCUGGAUGAAUCCGCAAGAGUGACCAUUGGCAAGAUCAACAGAAGAGUCACCCAGCUAAGCCCGGAUCACAGAAUUGACCGUUAAGAAAUGAAGUGAGUGAAAGUUUGGGGCACAUAGAAAAUGGUAACAAAAAUGUGGGAGCAGGCCCUGGUCCGUGGACUACACUAUGAGCAGCACUGACUUAGAUGAGGCCAGUGGUAUUCUCUGGUUCCCACCCCUUGGGCCAGCAUCAUGAUACCAUCCACUUUCGUCAACUGCUCUGUCCAGACCCCUCCUGUGAGGUGUGUAAUAGCACAACUGCUGAGGUCAAUCGGCUGCUGCUCCUGGAGGACCUGGAAGAUGAUACCCUCUCUGUGUCCUCUCUGGCUUCCACAGCUUCCGUGACUGAGUCAUCAUGUACUCUGUCCUCUGCCUUCUCAGCAGUCCCUCUAGGAGACCUAAUACCAGCCCCUUAGCCUGAGCCUUCCCCACCGCCCCCCUCCAUUCUCUCACCUAACCCAAUGACACCCUUGGCUGACUUUCUUUCACUUUCAUCACUGGGUCACUCUUUGCUACCAGAGCCUUUUCCUCCCUUGGAUUCCACAUUCCCAGUGGACCAUUCCCCACCCUAACCCCUUGCCUAUCCCCUUCUUUCACCACAUGACACUCAGACAGUGGAUCCUGUUCUCCAACCAGAGGCCACAUUCCCCGUGGACCAUUCCACAUACCAACUUUUUGCCUCUCCCCAUCUCUCACCACAUGACCCUUAGACAGCAGAUCCUGUUGUCCAAACAGAGGCUACUUUGUCUCUGCAUACCAUCUUCUCUCUUGACUCCACCCUUUCCCAAGAUACCAAACCCUUACCAGAUUUGUCCCAGACAAUGAAUCUCAAUGAUUCAUUGGCUUGUCAUCACACACCACCAGCUAUGUCUGUUUCACCACCACCAGACCGCCCUUUAACUGUGACUCAAUUUAAAUCAGUUUCCACUUUAUUGAAGCCUGUCUUGGAGAACUCAUCUCCAGAUAGCCCCAGUUGGUGGUCCACUUGUGUCCUGAAAAUCAGAGGCACUGAUCAUUCGAGGCUGUUGAUUUGAGAAUUCUCCUUGAGGCAAGCUCAUGGCAAAGACUUAUUCCCUUCCACCCUGGCACAAUGUGACUUCAGUCAAGAGUUUCUUGCCCUCCAUUCUUCAGAGGUGUCUUUCGAGGGAAACCCUCCAACCAACCUUGUAGAGCCUGAUAACCUCUCAUUUCUCAGCCCAUCUGUCCUGGCACUCCUGGAGAGACAAGGCCAACAGAGGAGUGAUUUCCUGAUGUGGGAGGAAGAGGAAAAUAAAAAGGAUUCUUUUCCAAAAGAUUUUAGGCCAGACUAUGAGCUAAAUUCUUCAGGGAAAAUGUUGGAGUCAAUUGCUGAUAAGCACGACUCGGCACUCUCCCUUCCUUUUUGGAGCAGCAAAGGGAAACCAAAGGAGCUGCACAAGCACCAGCAGCUUCUAUAUCCUAAGACCUCAGAGGACCAUCUACAGCAAAAACAUGUCCAGCUCUCCUGGGAUCUCGUCUCUGCACAGCAAGUCCUCGCCCUCUGCUGACCAUGUCUCAGGUGACUGUUCCUCAAUCUUUAUUUUCAACAGAAUCUCGAAUUCCUCCAUGGACCAAGAAUCCCCAGUACUUCCUCAUCCCUUACCUCUGUCCUUGCCUGAGAUCCAGCCUCAAGCCUUGCCUCAAACCCUGCCCCAAUCCAAGCCCCUACCUUUCACUCAGGUCCAGCCCCAGGCCCACCUUCAAUCCCCACUCCCAAUCCUACCAUUGGUCCUCUGCCUCAGAUUAGGAUCUGUGGAGUGUGUUUCCAGAAUGAAUUGGAGUCUCUCAUUUCAUCUGAAAUUCAAUACCUGGAAUGGAACGUGUUGCAGAAGCAACAGGAAAGUCCGUGGGGUUCACCCUCUGUGGUCCAAAGAUCUCAGGAAGACUUUUGUCCUUCAGCUCCCAACUCUCCUUACCAAUGGGCGUUCCAGGCCCAUAUUUCAAUCUCCAUCCUUCUUGCAGUUUUCUCUUAGUGAUGAGGUUUGAGAGAAACUAGAGGACCACCUUUGAAAGAGGCUCAUCCAACACCUGUGGGGCCUGUCCUGAAGGGUCCACGAGUGUCUGUCACUGAUUAUGACUCUGAGCAAUUUUCCAGAGACACCUGAGUCAGAGGGAAAUAAUGGACUCUCAUGGGUUUCUGUGAACAAAAAUCUAAAUGUUGGAUUGAGCCAUCCUGGAAGCUUCUAUGAGAGGAGCUCAUAAAUGCUUGGAUCAGUGACAUAGCCCACAAAAUGGGCCAAAAGAUCAUCUGUUGAGGGACCCAGAGAGCUCUUCAGAUAAGGAUCCAGGGUAUGACUCUGAGAGAGAUCUACAUAGUCACAUGCCAAGUCUGUUGGAAAAAAAUUCAAGGGCCUCAGGGGCAGUCUAGGUUAGAAACAAAUAGAAAAUGUCCUGAAAGUACAUUUGGGCAAGGAGUUUGAGGAAAUCAAUGAGGGUUGGCUCCCUGGGACUGUGCGGAGUUCAUGGCAUGCUGUCAAGCAGACAUUGCUGCUGUCUGCAAAAUCCUACACCCAGAAAACACAGAGAAGUUUGCCACCAUCAGUGGGUGAGGAUGACUCCCUGGAUACCUUCCAGGAGCUUUUCUUCAUUGAUUCCAGUGCAUGACAGAUGCUGCAAGCCCAUAUUAAAAGGUUUCAUAUGAGGAUGCUGUGGGGCCUUCCCUGCAGGGUCCUUGAAUCCAUAGAGAUCUUUAAUUUGAAAGAUGCAGCAUCCCAGUCCUUGUCCCAUCCCCACCUUCCCUCCUCGGCCAACCUGAUUUCUGAGGUGGACUCCAAAUCUUGGGCCUUCAAGACCUUUGUAGGAAGCUCCAAAUCUCUUCACAGAUACAAAAUGGGAACAAGAAAUUCAGCCCCUGUCCUGGAUCAUCAUCUCCUGACCAGCUCACCUGUGGGCAAGGAAGGGCAGGGGACCCCGAGAUGAUCACCCUUUCAUAUCAACAAUAAGUUUGCAGAGGAUAUUCGGAGAACUAAGGGUGCCAGACAGACUCUUCUGCCUGUCACACAUGACAUCACAGACAAAGCAAGUCAGAGACAGACUCUACUAGGCCACAUACACCCCCCCCAAAGCUGCCUGCAGGGAAAGCUGGGGCCAGACAUGAGCCAAAGAGGAAGAGUGUGAGUUCCAGGGGUGGAGUAGAAACACAACAAGGCAAAGACAGAGAAGAGGUCAGAACCUUUCUCCAAGGUCAACGUGUCCAGGGAGAUAUUCAGGGCAGAGGAGCUUGAUGCUUUUCAAUCAAAAACUGGUAACAUCUUGACAAUCAGCAAGCCAGGAAGCCCCCAAAUGGUAAAUGUGAAUCAGAGUAUAGUAGAAACUACUGGGACCACUGAAAGCCCCCCGCCAAAAGGACUAAUUCCCCUAGACUCUGAGUCAUCAGUCCUUAAAGAACAGCUGUUUGGUGAGUUAAAGUCUAAACUGGACAGGAGGGAGCAGAGCUACGCCCAAGGUCAACCCACUGACGCUCCCCUGCCUCAGAGAGCUUGACUUACAAGGCCUCACUGACUCAUGCCCAGGGUGUCUCCACUGGGGACAUGGGAGCUUCCCAGGUGCUGCAUGUCCAUUUGGAGGACAGAGGAAUCAGCACGGAGCAGCAGCAGGAGCCUUGGGUCCCUAAGAAAGUCUUAAGGAGGUGCCAGGAUAAGAAUUUCCCACCAGCUGCAAAGAGAGCAAGCCCUCCAGGCCCCAAACCAGAAGGUCUUGGUGGAGGGGAUGCAGGGUUGCAGACAUUCCAACCUAGAAGGAAGAGUUUCCCUACUCAGGAUAAGGCAUUAGAGGAGAUGUUUGAGAGCAAGUCUUCCCAGACCCCAUUACAAAAGGGACAGCCUCCUCCUGAAAACCUUUGCAGAAAAAAAAAAUGAAGCACUUUUUGUAAUGGCUUCAUCCUGAGACAAAACGCAAAAGGCAAGAAAAUUCCCAGGAAAAGGGCAGCUCUAUAUUAUCUGCACAGAGCAGAGGCCUAGUUAAAAGAAGAGCUGCCCUUACUGAGACGAGCACAGCUCAGAAGACCAUGACAGUCCCUGGGAAGUUCCCAGAGCAGGAACUGGAGCGUCGAUGUGCAACAGAUGCCACCUGGCCUCAAGAGCCCCUCCCCUCCCUGAGGAAGUUUGGGAAAACUCAGCAGAAGGCAGAAGUGCAGGCCCAGACAGAGCCCAUCCAGGGGCAUCCUUCCAACUACAGGGCUCCCUCCUGUAAAGUGACAAACACCAAGUCCUGCCACCAAGAAGCUGUCUUUGCUGGCCAGAGUGAUCCUACAAGUAUUAGAUGGAUCAGAGACAAGGACAGACACCCCCAGAAAGUUGUGGCCUUUAGGGACCAGCUAUUGGAUUAUCUGUGCCCCGCAGGGAGCCUGUCCCUGUCCAAGCCCCACCUACAGGGGUCAAGCCAGCCAGGGGCCUCCGACUGCUCUCACCACUGUUGAAGGCAGUUUCAACAGAAAAUGCUUCUCCAGAAUUUCCAGAGGAAAAUUUUCUACCCCCAAAUAAUUCCUUCCUUGUGCAGUAUAUUGAUUCUCUCCAGUAAAUGAUUCUCUAAUAAUAGAGAA